Molecule: long non-coding RNA, 499 nt
Organism: Peromyscus eremicus (cactus mouse)
Lineage: Eukaryota; Metazoa; Chordata; Mammalia; Rodentia; Cricetidae
Exons: 2
Source: RefSeq, a predicted model, not a curated record
UGAUGCAGGGAUUGAUAACAUCACCACAGAGGGUUUCACUGGACUUUUUUUUAAGAUUUAUUUUUAUUUCAUGGGUAUAGUUGUUUUGUCUUCAUGUAAGUCUGUGGUCCAUACGUAUGCAGUGUUCACAGAAGCCAGAAGAGAGCAACAGAUCCCUUGGACUGGAGUUAAGCUACUCACCUGACAGGAUUGUUGUCUAGAAUGUAUGAGGAACUUAAAAACAAACAAACAAACAAACAAACAAACAAAAUCUAAACAUGAAGAAAAUAAGCAGCCCCAUGAAAAGUGGGCCAUGGAACUAAACAGAAAAUUUUCAGAUGAAGAAACACUUGUGAUCACCGUCAUGAAGUACCAUUUUAUCCAUUGUAUAAUGUUGAUUUUCACACAGACAUGUUGUUUCAACUAUCUUAUGUACUUUGACCACAUCCCCCAUACCCAAUAAAUGGCUUUAUGUAUCAAUGGAGAAUCCUAUGACAAAUAAAUGAAAAAAACCCUGUAA